GGCCACGGGCCACGGGCGUUCGUCGCCUCAAGCCCUUUCGCCUCCACGAGCGCACUAAACACAAUUAUUAGUUCGUCUUCCCUACGGUCGCUCUUAUUGCCGCCACUAUCUCAUCGCCGGCAUUACGACGGACACGAAACGACGUCUCUGUAUCCAUCUCCUCUGAGUAGCUCGCCGUCAGUUACCCUACAAUUGUGGAACUCAGCCGUCGCAGCGUUCGCGUUUAAAUACAUGUACGCACUUCCAUCUUCAUCCCACACACACGCCAAUUCGCCUCUGAUUUUCUGCUUCCCCUUUGUGUUUUCAACCCUCCUAAUUUCACAACCCUGCAUCCCUCUAUGCGCUGCGAGAACUCCAUCCAAUUCUGCAUCCGCUGCUCUAUCUUCUUGGUUUGCCCAUCCAAAUCUGCCAUCAAUGCGAGACGCCGCCUCCGUGCUCUCAAGCCCACGCCAAAUCGGCCGCCGCCCGUCCACAAGCACACGCCUCCACCGGGGGGAAUUAGUGCCCAGCGGACUGAUGUUGUUGCCGAUGUGCUCUUCCUGUCGUUCAACGCAGCGUGGCUUCUUGACAGGCCGACAACCCCCGUUGCUGAACUGCAGCCCUUAGGGGAGAGUAAGGGGUCUCCGCCCAUGCCAGAUGUCGUGCGCCGCUCGGGAACGCCAUGGGAAAGGGAGCUGUCCGCUGCCACUGACCACGCCCUAGGAGGCGCACCGUUGAGAAUCAAGAGGCACGCCUUCAGUCCAGGCUCUUCCUCCCUCACCUUCUUUAUUUGAUUCUCUCUUCUUUUCAGUGUGUGAAUGUGUAUUUGUUAUGUGGGAUGGGGCAUGUUUCAGAUUGUCAAGUAUGUGAACCAGAGAUAAUAGUAUACACAUCGAUGCAGUACGGAGGACUUGAUCGUUUACCUUGGAAGAAAGGACUACCUGCAGGGCAACAGGGAUAUCGCACAUCUAUCUCUUCAGGAUUCAGGUGGCUCAGGCGGGUUUGUUGGCACCCUGUCCAUGCAUACAAUAGCAUUCCCUGCGCUCCCUGUUCGAUCAUCUGUGUAGCUAGCUACUUUUUUUUUGAAAUGGAGUCUAGGUACAUUUUGUUAAAUCCUUUGCUUAGUUUUAAAUUAAACUGAUUGAACUAAGCAUUUUUUACGGUAUAAGCAUGGAUGAGUUGAUUGGCCCGGUUCACUUUAUUUCUUCUACGGAUAGCAGCAUCAAAUGGUUUCACCAUGCUUCCAGUUGCCUGGCAGUUGGUGAGAGAACUAUAUGAUAUUAUCCUCUCAUGUAACCUGUUUUGAAGUACCUCAAUUCAGGUAUAAUGUCUAUAAUACAGAAUACACAAGUCAAACCACACCGAAGGCCAAUGAUUUUGUUCUUUUGGCAAGAGUCAACAUAUUUGGACAAUGUCUACGUAUAAUAAUGUAACUUUACUUGGUUUCUGUC
Molecule: RNA transcript, 1430 nt
Organism: Triticum dicoccoides
Lineage: Eukaryota; Viridiplantae; Streptophyta; Magnoliopsida; Poales; Poaceae
Exons: 3
Source: RefSeq, a predicted model, not a curated record